GUGGUAAAUAUCCUUAAUUGCUAUUACAAGGUUGUGUGUUCGAGUCUCAUUUAAUUUACUUUUGCAUCAUUUAAUAUCAAAAAUGCGAAAAUCUCUUUGUACGGCAUUUAAGGACGUUGCUAAGUAUUAGAGCAGGAUAUGUGACGGAACUGUUAUAGAUGGAAUAAAACCGUCGUUAAGUACCUCACAUAACUUGGAAAAUGCACAUUUUUGACGGAAUAUGACGGAUACGUAGGGACGGCGGAAACCCUCGCAAAACCUGUCGCUAAUGAUAUCUUCACAACC
This 285-nucleotide long non-coding RNA is filed under the name Medicago truncatula (barrel medic). RNAcentral's name for it is "lncRNA gene9983". The record is from RNAcentral. Lineage: Eukaryota; Viridiplantae; Streptophyta; Magnoliopsida; Fabales; Fabaceae.